Long non-coding RNA from Equus caballus (horse), 5674 nucleotides. The record is from Ensembl. NCBI's taxonomy places the organism in Eukaryota, Metazoa, Chordata, Mammalia, Perissodactyla, Equidae.
GUGAUUUUCUUUUUCAAUGGAAUAGAAAUUGUUUAUUUUAAAGCUCCAUUUUGGAAAAGUAUGACAUUUCUUUUUAGAAUAAAUACUAUUUUAUCUUGUACUUGUAGGAAACCUCUUUCAAUAAGCAAAGAGGAAUACCAGCAACAAAGCUGUGUAUAGAAUGGAUGUGGGUACGCAGAACAUUAAAAUGUCCUCUUACCAUUCACAGAGUUGAUUCUGGAGAGAUUCAUGAAAGCAGAUGGGAAAGAUCAGAUGUGUGAGAGGUAGGGUGCAGGUUGCUGUGUCUGAUAAAUAUGUACGCUUAUCCAACUUUGCAGCUCUUGAAGAAAUUCUGAAUAGUUAGGAUACUCAGUAAUAAUGAGUUGUAGCCUGUCCUAUAGAUUGUAUUAGCUGUGUGACCUUGGGCAAUUCAUUUAACUUCUCUGAACUUUUCACUGCCCAUAAAAUGAAACAUAGAGUCCUUAUCUGGAUUACCUGCAUUAUAAGGCUUCCACUACCUCUCCUGCUUACCACCCCCUUCCCAGCACUCUAAGUUCCAGUCAUAUUCAACUCCACAUCACCUCCUGUAUUUUCUUUAGAACACCCUCUGAAAAGAUCUUGUUCAUGUACUUGUUUUCCUUCACCAGACAGUAAGUUUCAUGACAGGAGGGAUCUUGGGUAUUGUUCUUAUCAUAUACCAAGCACUAGAACAAUGCCAGAAAAUUAAUUGGUACGUAGAAAUAAUUGGUGAAUGAGUUCUGGGUAUAUACCCAAAAGAAUUGAAUGCAGGGACUCGAAUAGAUACUUAAAUACCAUGUUCAUAGCAGCAUUAUUCACAAUAGUCAAAAGGUGAAAGCAACCCAAGUGUCCAUCAAUGGAUGAAUGGAUAAACAAACUGUGGUAUAUAUAUACAAUGGAAUAUUAUUCAGCCCUUAAAAGGAAGGGAAAUCCAACGUGCUACAACAUGGAUGAAUCUUGAGGACUUCACGCUAAGUGAAAUAAGCCAGACACAAAAGAACAAAUACUGCAUGAUUCCACUUAUAAGUGGAACAUACACGAGGUUCCUAGAGGAGUCAAAUUCAUAGAAACGGAAAGUAGAAUGGUGAUUGCCAGAGGCUGGGGGAAGGAGGAACAGGAGUUGUUAUUUAAUGGAUAUAGAGUUGUAGCUGGAGAAGAUGAAAAACUUCUGGAGAUGGAUGGUGGUGCUUGUUGUACAACAAUGUUAAAGUUAACUUAAUGCCACUGAAUCGUACACUUACAAGUGGUUAAAAUGGUAAGUUUUCUGUUACGUGUAUUUUAUGACCAAAAUAAAUGGUGAAUCAAUCAGUGUGGAGGUUCUUCACAUAAGUGGGUCUCCCUCCCUGGAACACUGUCUUCUGUCAUUCCUCUACCCUUGCCACAACCUCCCCUUAUUCCUCCAUCUAGCCAACUCCUAGUUAUAUGUUGGCUCUCAGCUUAGAUCAGGGUUUCUCUUAGCUGCAGCACUGGUGGCCUUUUGGACUGAAUAACUCUUUGCUGUGGAGGGCUGUCCUAUGAGUGAGAUUUCGAAAGUGAUUUAACAGCAUCCCUGGCUGCUACCCACUAAAGGCCAUUAGCCCACAGCCUCCCUACCCGCCCCCCCCCCCCCCGACAAUUGUGACAAUCAGAAAUAUCUUGAGACAUUGGGAAGUGUCCCAAAGGUGGGACGUGGGGGAAAAAUUGCCACUGGUUGGGAACCAUGAUUUAGAUGUUACUCUCACUUUCUCUGGAAGUCUCGGCCAAGAGCAGUUUUGGGGCAUCUUUUCUCCCUUAGUGCCUCUAUUCAAUUCCAUCCUUUCCUGUCAUGGUACUUAUCACACUUGAAUUACACUAUCUCUACCACUAGACUGGCAACUACAGCACCUAUCACAGUACCUGGCAUAUAGUGGGUGCUCAUUAUUUACUUUCUGUUUUAUUGCUUUGAACUCAGUUUCCUCAUCUUCAAAAUGGAGAUGAUACUAGAUUGCUUCCCAGAAAUGUGGUGAACAUCAUUUAAUAGGAGAAACACUUUUUUAAAAAAUUAUAAGGCAUUGUAUAGAAAUGAGUUCACAUUAUUAUUGUUGUAAUAAAAUCUUCACUUGGCUCUAACCUAACAGAGUUUAUCCUCCCAACCUCUAACACUUCCUACCGUUCAUUUGCUGUCCUUAAACAAGGUACUAUAUCUUCCAUAGCUCUCCUGUAUCACUUAGUAGGUCAGUGGCUGUGGGGACAGAGUAAGUCCUACUACUAAGAAUAAUUUUGUCUUUAGAAAUGAAGUCUGGGUACAUUAAAGCCAUGAGUUGGAAAUGUACUAGAAGAUGGCUAAUUUGGAGCUUGAUCUUUGGGAGACAAAAACUAAAACACAGGUUUUAGUUCAAGGAGUCAGUUGGUGACUUUGGAGAACAUUGUGAUAGCACUGGUGUCUCCUCUCCACCUUUUGGUAACUUGUCUCACUAUCUUUUUACUCGAUCGUAGGUGUACUUCCUGAUAAGCACCAUAGCCUUUUAGUAGUCUUGAGAAAAUUGUUCUAGUGUUUCCUCCCCUUUAUUUUACUGUCCAUCAAUUUUUCAAAGUGAUUGCAUAGCUCUGGGUUAUUUCAAAUAGAUGUGAACCAUGCUUCUUGUCAUAUCUCCAGUGAUUGAAUAGCCCCCAAUCAGACGGUUAAAAAUGAGGGACUAAUUGAAGACUGCUCCUGCUCCUAGUAUUAUUUGUUAUUUAUACUCAUUAUUCUUCUAGAAAAGAUUCGAAGGGCUUGUUUCAUUCACGUAUGGGUAAUCUAGUAUAUCAACUGGCCUUAUUUGAAGUGGUCUCUGGCAUGUGUUUUCAUUGUAACUUUUGCAAUUGUUUCGACCAAAUGUUUGUUUCACACCCCAUGAUACUGUGAUACGAUAAAAGAUAUAUAUUUGGUCUUGUCCCUGGUUCCUGGCACAGAGUUCAAAACCCUUGUAAUUUCCUGACAGAUAAGGCUGAGAGGAGCAUCUUAUGUUACUCAUAAUAAGCCCCUUUCAACUAUACCUGAGUUUAUGCUAGUGAGGUGACUCUGGGAGUGUGGGGGCUGGUUGCCAGAGGAACCAACUAUGUAAUUAGAGGGUUGGAACUUUUGGCUCCACCCAACAACCUCUUGAAAGGGGAGAGGGGCUGGAGAUGGAUUAAAUCACCAAUGGCCAAUGAUUUGAUCAGGUAUGCCUAUGUAAUGAAGGCUCCAUAAAAUCUCUUAACAACAGGGUUUGUGGAGCCCCAGGUUGGUGAAAGCAUCUAUGGGACUGCAAGGUGAUGCACCCAAACUCCAUGGGACACAAGUGCCUGCGCUCAGGAUCCUUCUGGACAUCACCUCAGCCCCAUUGAAUGCUAAUAAUGGAACAUAAAGGAAUGAACCUGCAAGAACAAAUAGAACAAGAAAGUGGAAGGAUGACGGCUGACUGGAGCUGUCAAUGCAGUGUUGGGAGUCAGAAAGCAGAUGAACAGGUGGGAACCGACUUUGCAGAACAGAGAAAGCUGAUGCCACUUGACUGCAAGAGACAAAGAAAACAAGAAGGAACGAUUUGCUCCACUGCAACGCUGGGAGUUGGAAGACGUUGGAGGAAUGCCUUCCAAAUUAUGAAAGAAAAUGAUCACUAACCCAGGCUUAUACCUCUUUCAAAUUGUCAGCUAAGUGUUCUGGUACCAAUUCUAAUGUGUGUAUGUGGGCUUCUCCCCACAUCAACAGGCAAGUCUUCACAACACCAGCUGGGUGUCCUAUAAUUUAACUCAAGUCCGACACUAUCUACCUGGAGGCAGCAUCAGAUCCCACAGCUUACGGGCUCUGUUCCACAAGAUUGUUUCUCCUCUCUUCAAAUGCCAAUCACAAGUCUAUGUUUUCAUCUGUGCUUCUGACUCAUUGCCUAUAAAUCAGAGAUUCCUACAACCCCCUCCUCAGGUUUGAGUAAUUUGCUAGAGUGGCUAACAGAACUCAGGAAAACUGUUUACUUACCAUUUACCAGUUUAUUAUAAAAGGAUAUGGUAAAGGAUACAGAUGAACAUUCAGAUAGAAGACAUGCAUAGGGCAAAGUAUGUGGGAAGGGACACAGAGCUUCCGUGCCCUCUCUGGGAACACCAAGCUUCCCACUUCUCCACUUUGUCACCAACCUGGAAACUCUCAGAACCCUGCACUUUUGGGAUUUUUAUGGAGGCUUCAUCACGUAGGCGUGAUCAAUUAUUGACUCCAUUUUCAGCCCCUCACCACUCUCUACAGAAGCUGGGGGUGGGGCUGAAAAUGUCAAGCUUCUAAUCAUUAUUACUUGGGUCUUUCUGGUGACCAGCCCCCAUCCAGCAACCAUCCAGGAGCCCACCCUGAGUCACCUUGAUAGAACAAAAGAUGCUCCUAGUGCUCUUAUUACUUAGGAAUUUACAAGGGUUUUAGGAGGCUUGCAUCAGGGAUGAGGUCAAAGACCAAAUAUUAGAACAAGAGAUGCUCCUAGUGUCUUAUCACCUAGAAAAUUACAGGGGUUUUAGGAGCUCUGUGCCAGGAACUGGGGCCAGAGACUGCUAUAGAUUUUGUAUCAUCUCACAUUAACCAAGAGUGAGAGUUGAAUACAGACAUUACCAGAUAGGCAUUGUCUCAAAAAAUGUGUCUCCCAUGUACCCCUUCUCAGGAAGAUUCUAUGGGAUGUGCUCCAAGACAAUAGGGAAUAAAGUAAGAAAAAGGGAAAUGAGAUCCAAUUUAGAAAGAGAUGUAAAUAAUUCCUAUAAAGAUGGCAGAGGGAAGUCCCACAAUGAUAGCUCUGCAGCACGUCAAGAGGUGUAGAUCAGUAUAGACUGGAGAUGGAAGAUAGAGAGCUUUGUGAGAGAAGUCUCCAAGAAAAGAAUAACAUGGAAAUUUGGAUAGAAAAGUAUUUUAAAGAGUUGUUGGAGACUGUGGGCACACUAAGCCAGAGAUUUGAAGAAAGUCAAGUAAGAGAAUAAAUAAAAAUUAACUCCAUGGAAAAGAAAAGGUUAUAUUUAGGGAAGGACAUAUAAUCAUAGGAUACUAUCUGACUCAAUGAGUAGGGCUUCCUGUUCUCUAUCAUAGGACUCCUAUUUGGUUUGAAAUGGUGCAUUCAAUGUGUGAAAGACAAAAUGCCCUGGACAAUUAGAUGAUGAUUUUAUUCAGGCUAUUGCCAUAGGGAUAUUAUUUAUCAAUGAAAAACUUCUCAAAGAAAAGGAAAGGUCCCUUGAGUUUUAUAGAAGCUUAAACAAAGGAAUCAUCGGAGAAUCUCACAGGCAUCAUGAGGUAGGAUGGAGAUGGGUCUUCACUGAGUCACUGAGGAAAGGUGGAGGUGAGUCUUAUCUCAGAAAAUGGGACAGUAGGGUGAUCUUUUGCUGGUUAGCAGUUUCUCGGAAUACAAAUGUGUGGGGAGAUUUCUUAACCUUCUCCAUCUUCUCUGCUUUCUGGUGCACAAGGCUCAGAUAAAUUUCCACAUUGCCUUCCCUUUGGUUCAAGAGGAUAAAUAUCUUCCCUCAGUGAAAAACUUACAGCUGAUUAUAAACUUUCUGAAUGGGGCAAAGCAGGGUCUAGGAAAUAUUGUCUCUUGAGGAUUCUUCUUGGUGUUUUUCCUAUAAAACUAGUUGAACCAUCUGUUGAGAGGUGGUGGCAAAGGUCAGUGGUUUUAGGGCCCUAAAACCUAAAAUCUCCUAGGUCCUAGAAGAUUAGGUCCUAAAGAGAGAGAUGCCUAAAAUGAAG